Molecule: long non-coding RNA, 1348 nt
Organism: Salvia splendens (bonfire salvia)
Lineage: Eukaryota; Viridiplantae; Streptophyta; Magnoliopsida; Lamiales; Lamiaceae
Exons: 2
Source: RefSeq, a predicted model, not a curated record
ACCUUAAAAAUCUCCAACAAACAAAGUAAAUCCUUAUAUCUCCUUCAACUCCACGAUGAAAUCAGUUUCCACAAUUUUCACAAUUUCUUUCAUUCAAUACCAAAGAAAUGAAAUACUAUAGGAAAUACCGAGACUGGGAGAAACAGAGAGUUGCUGUCUGUUCACUGGAACAGUCAGCGGCCGCGAACCGGGGCUGUCCAGUGAUGGCUGGAGACGACGGCGUGAAACUGCGCGAGGGAGACGGAGGACGCCGGAGGCUUCAACUGCAUUGUGACUGCAGCAGCUCCUGCUGCGUCGCGACAUUGGCGGCAGUGGUGCUGUGUUUUUCCGACGACAACAAGUGAAGAUGAAGGGAGAUGUCGGUUGAGGGAGCAGCGCUGGCAUCCGGUGUGUGAACAGCAGCGGCUGCUCAAAGCGGCGACUGUGUGGCGAUGGCGGCGGACAUCACCGGGCUGAACUCAGUAGCAGCAGGCACGGCUGCUCGGCUGAACGGCGGUGACAUCAGGCCGGAAACUAUGACAGCCAGACUUCGGCGGAGGAGUGGCGAUGAGAGAGGGCGGAGGAGAGGAAGAGACAGGAGUUCGACAGAGAGAUAUCAGAGGAAUUUGAGACUGCUUGGAGGCGGAGGAUUUGGGAGAGAAAGAUCAGGGGAAGAGAUUGGCGCUGCACCGUCGUGAAAAGGAGAGCAGCGGCGCCACCGAAAGAGAAGACAGAGGAGGUGCAAAAGAGAGAUGGGAAUGGAGAUUUCAGAUUUCAGAUUUGAGGAGACGUGGGAGUGUUAAGGAGUUAGACAAAAUUUAAUCAAAUGAAUAAUGAGUCAGUUGGAUUUUAUUUAAUUGUUGAAGUAAUGGAUUGCUUACUUAUUAAGUGACAACAAUCUGGAGCUUGAUUCCUCUUGGACAACUUCUUCAAAUGUUUGGGGUUGAUCAUUAUUUUCGCUUUGGGUCAUAAUAUUAAUUUGGAGGAGUUUGGGACAAAAGAAUUAAAGAAUGAGUUGAAGAUUAACUUCUAUUGUUAGGUCGAUGGAGAUGGGAAGAUCGGGCGGCCUUGAAAAUAAAUGAAAGGAAAGAGAAGCAUGGAUUCAAGGAAGAAAUUUCUCUCCGAACAAAAUUGAAGUCGAAGUAAGGAAUUCAAAUUCAGGAAAAUUAAACAAACGAGGUUGAGUUGUGACGAGCGCGGUGGGUGUUGAGGAGAGCUGGUGAAGAUUUGUGUUUGCUUUUAAAUGUUCCGAAUAUAUUAUGUCUUCAUACAUAAUAUUAUUCUUCUCUUAAUGCUUCCGCUGAAUGUUGUUUCUUUGAGUUCAUGUAUUGUUGAGAUAUUAUCCCUUUAAGCUAUUCCCAUUUAUUUA